RNAcentral lists this long non-coding RNA (367 nucleotides) under Mytilus galloprovincialis (Mediterranean mussel). The record is from RNAcentral. Lineage: Eukaryota; Metazoa; Mollusca; Bivalvia; Mytilida; Mytilidae.
GGGGUGGUGAUCUCAACGGUUUUCAAGUUCUUAAACAGGUAGGGGUAGGCAGAGGAUUUAGGGGGGGGGGUGCCCCCCUUUUUGGGAAAAGAAUUGGUUGCUUAUAUAGGGAAUCACUGAAGCGUAUCUGGGAGCGGGCCCAUCUUAGGUCAGUCAGUGAGCCCCCACUUAUGAAAAUUUCUGGAUCCCCCACUGGGGGUAGGGUGACCCUAGGGACUUCCCCUAAAUUUCAUUUUAUUUGUUAUAUUGUCCCAUACAUAAAUACAUAUGGUUUAGGGGUGGGGAUCUCAUUGGUUUCCAAGUUCUCAAACAGGAGGGGUAGGGUGACCCCAGGGACUCCCCCUAUAUUUCAUUUGAUUUGCUAUAU